This is a small nucleolar RNA of Jaculus jaculus (lesser Egyptian jerboa), 128 nucleotides long. Lineage: Eukaryota; Metazoa; Chordata; Mammalia; Rodentia; Dipodidae. The record is from Ensembl.
AGGGUGUGCUCAGAGCAGGGGGCCUAAAGAACUGCUCCUCUGUUUACAUCACACCUGACAGGAAUCUGGGGUCUUUGUGAAGAGGGAAACGGCACGGUGUUCUCCCUGUGAGCAGAUGCCCUACACGG